This 579-nucleotide ribosomal RNA is filed under the name Stylurus nagoyanus. RNAcentral's name for it is "partial 12S ribosomal RNA". The stretch from base 170 to 573 matches the Rfam family "Microsporidia small subunit ribosomal RNA", at positions 752 to 1304 of the family's 1311-position model. The record is from RNAcentral. Lineage: Eukaryota; Metazoa; Arthropoda; Insecta; Odonata; Gomphidae.
GGGAAAAGUAAAUAUUAUUAGUUUAAUAGUUAUUGUUAGAUUUAUUAUUAAAAUUUAAAUUUUUAGGUGAAAUUUUAUUUUUUUUAUAAUUAUGUUGGAAGAAGCUAUGAAAUUUAUUUAACAAACAAGGAUUAGAUACCCUUUUAUUGUAAAUGUAAAAUUUUAACUAGGGUAGUAAUAGUUAUGUUCUUGAAACCCAAAGAAUUUGGCGGUAUUUUAGUCCUUUCAGAGGAAUCUGUCCCGUAAUCGACAGCCCMCGAGAUAAUGUACUUAUUCUUGUAUUCAGUUUGUAUACCUCCGUCAUAAGAAGAUCUUUUUAGAGAUAAAAUUUUCUUAAUAUAUUAAGUAUAGUAUGUCAGGUCAAGGUGCAAUUUAUGGAUAAGUGGAGAUGGAUUACAAUAAAUUUAUUUAAAUGGAUUAAAUUAUUUAAUUUUUUAUGAAGGUGGAUUUGAUAGUAAUUUUAAUUAUUUAUUAUUAUGAUUUUGGCUCUAAAAUAUGCACACAUCGCCCGUCGCUCUCAUUUCUAAAAUGAGAURAGUCGUAACAUAGUAGGUGUAUCGGAAGAUGUACCUAGUAWGU